CUUAAUUUUAACCAAAACAACUCAAGAUUGUCUGCCCUUUGGGGAUGGGUCCGAAGAGCACCAACAUCUUGGGGAGCCAGUUUGUUUAACUGAGGAUCAGGAGACUGCCUGUGAGAAUAGAACUAAAUGGAUGCCCUUCGAGCAUCCCUUCACCCCUUCUGUGCCAGUGGUUCCCCAGUGAACUUGCAGUCUCUGCAUGCUGCCCCCUAAUGGAGCUGAGAACUUCCCAGCCUAGUCCUACAGAGAAGUCAUAUGGAGCCCUGUAGGACACCUCUGCAUUCACUCAAGGCAAGGCUCUAGAAAGUCUGCAGGAGCCUCAAGAACAAUUCCAUUCUUCUGGGAGGAAGUACAACCUUGGCUGGAAGAUGAGGGAAUUGAGGCCCAUACAAAUUCACAACCUGCCCAAGGUAUGGAUCCCAAAUACGAACAACAGCAUUCUGACUCCUGAGUCCACAGCACUAUUCUGCCCCUUGUCAAUUUCUAAAAGAGAGCCAUUCAAAGGAAGACAGAGAAUCAACCCAGGGGAAUGAUCUUGCCAGGUAAGACUGUUCCAAAUACAUACUUGUUUUAUUUCUCUAUUUCCAUAACAAUACAAAGAUGCUUAGAACAAUAAUGGUUCAAAAUAAUUUCUGCACCACUGAUAUGUAUUGUCUGCAUAAAAUUUAGGCACAAAUUUUAUGGACCCCUCAAUGUGAAUUAAGAGCUAGAGUUCACAAAAUGUUGGAGUUAGAAUAAUUUAAAGUUAUUCAUUUUCUAGAUAGGGUGGCAUUUGCUGAACUGUCAGGGGUUCCCAAACAUGGCUAUA
This is a long non-coding RNA of Myotis lucifugus (little brown bat), 805 nucleotides long. RefSeq lists it as uncharacterized. Lineage: Eukaryota; Metazoa; Chordata; Mammalia; Chiroptera; Vespertilionidae. The record is from RefSeq and is a predicted model, not a curated record. The transcript is spliced from 3 exons.